The sequence is a transfer RNA, 72 nucleotides long. It matches the Rfam family "tRNA". From Rfam's summary of the family: Transfer RNA (tRNA) molecules are approximately 80 nucleotides in length. The record is from Rfam.
GGGCGCAUGGUUUAGUGGUAUAAUUCCUCUUUAGCAUAGAGGCGGUCCCCGGUUCGAUUCCGGGUGCGUCCA